UUGGCAGCCGGUCUCUGAGGCAAGGUGAAAAGGCUGCUGGAAAUGUAUAAAAACCAUGGGACAGGAUCCUUCUUCACCUGUGAUCUGCUUUGGGUUUCAAGAAGGGGAAUCCCUAAGCCUUAAGAAUUGAGAUUCCCAGUCACUGACUGGAGUCACCCUGAAUAUGGACAUUGGACUAUAACCUCUGGACUAUUUCUAAAAG
Dermochelys coriacea (leatherback sea turtle) is the source of this 202-nucleotide long non-coding RNA. RefSeq lists it as uncharacterized. NCBI's taxonomy places the organism in Eukaryota, Metazoa, Chordata, Testudines, Dermochelyidae. The transcript has 4 exons. The record is from RefSeq and is a predicted model, not a curated record.